RNAcentral lists this transfer RNA (73 nucleotides) under Patiria miniata (bat star). Its description in RNAcentral is "tRNA-Ser". It matches the Rfam family "tRNA". Rfam says of the family: Transfer RNA (tRNA) molecules are approximately 80 nucleotides in length. Their secondary structure includes four short double-helical elements and three loops (D, anti-codon, and T loops). Further hydrogen bonds mediate the characteristic L-shaped molecular structure. tRNAs have two regions of fundamental functional importance: the anti-codon, which is responsible for specific mRNA codon recognition, and the 3' end, to which the tRNAs corresponding amino acid is attached (by aminoacyl-tRNA synthetases). tRNAs cope with the degeneracy of the genetic code in two manners: having more than one tRNA (with a specific anti-codon) for a particular amino acid; and 'wobble' base-pairing, i.e. permitting non-standard base-pairing at the 3rd anti-codon position. The record is from Rfam by way of RNAcentral. Lineage: Eukaryota; Metazoa; Echinodermata; Asteroidea; Valvatida; Asterinidae.
AGCUCGGUGGUCGAGUGGUAAGACGUCUGAUCUAGAAAGCAGGAGAUCGUGGGUUCAAGUCCCAUCCGAGUGA